CUCUCUCCCAGUAUGCCCGGCGUCAGAAACGUCUUCAGAAGAUCCUGAAGUAUAUAUUCACCUGGCCAGCUGGGCCAAUGGAUUUGCUAAGACUACAUAUAACUUUUAUUUGGAGGUGAUUUCUAUGAUUAUGGCAGCAGGAGAAUUUCCAUCUGAUGCACCAAAGGCAGAACUGAUGGAGGAGGCAUUGCUGGGGGUAAGAACUGGGAAGAUUACACCAAAAAUAUUGGUGGGGGUCAGAACCGGCCGGGAAGAUUACACGAAAGACGAUCCGGGAUGAAAUGGUUAAAGCUGUUCUUGAGGGUUUGAAUUGGGAGCUGAUUGAUAAACAACAAUUUGGAAGCAAAAGCCUCUCUUCUUCUGGGAUAGGUGAUAAAGAAACAGAAGUCCGACCCCUCAUACCUGCUUAAAGGUAAGGAAUGUCACAAAAUUCAGUAGAAAUUUUAGUACAUUUUGAUCAUAAUGUGGCUUCAAAUAUGUAGACAUCUAGACAUAAUGCUCUUCACUCUAUGCCAGCUGAGUGGGGCUGGCUUCAAGGGGUGAAAGAAAAAAACAUUUCCCGGAUUUGUUUUAAGCUCUAUUUUCAGACUCAAAAUCGUCACCGAUCAAAAGAAGGUUGCAAGGUUGAGGGCUGUUAUGCAACUUUUAUCUCUCGACCUGCAGUCCUUGUAUACUAAUCAUAAUAUUUAGGCGGUGCAUAUGCAACAUGCAUGGUGAAAAGAAAAAGGGAGGAUGCUAACAAAUGGAUAGUAUGUUAGCACAAUUAGAACUGCAAUUACCAGGUUAGCAGUAAUAUAUAAUAAUCACAUUUUGGUAUUUUUCUACUUUCAUGAGCUCGUGUGCUUCAAUUAGAAACUUAAGUCAAGAUUGUUAUGAAUCUGUUACUACAAUUAGAUUCAUAAAACUGAAGUGUUAAAUCAUGUUUUGGUUGUUAAAAUUUCUGUCCUCGACCAAAUCCAUUAUAUGAUUAAAGAAAAAUUCUUCUGGUAAAUGUCUAGUUCCGCCUUUAAAAUUCAGUCUCUUAAAUUUUGGUCAAGAAUUUCAAUGUUGCACUCCUUAAACUCUCCUUUCCUAAGCACAUCCGUAGAGUCCUCUUUAUUACUUAUGUUUACCCAAACAUACAUUUCAUCGACCAGUUGGUGCAUGCCGGCCCUGGCAGGCCCAAAUACGAUCGUCAAUUUGUGUGUUCAACUCGCGUGGCAGCUACACCCUCAGAGCUGUCAUAAAUCACUCUUUAACGCUAUGUUACGGAGAAGUUUAGCAGCUAUGAAUUCGGGUUGUGGUGUAAAUGAGAAAUAGACCUUUCAAAUUGCUUUUGUAUGGUACCCAAAUGAUCAAGAAUCUUUAUUUAGGUAAAUUUAAAGUAAAGAGAUGGAUCUACAGUUUUAAUUUUCUCCAAGAAAGAUGGGCGUUUCGCUUUCAUCGUUGCCAUUACCAUCUUCCUCUUCACUGUCUUCGUUUUCGCUCUGGUCAUCUUCAUCUUCACUGAAAUCAUCUAUAUAUUCAUCACUUUCUUCCGAGUCUGUAACACCAACCACCUUAUCUCCUAGGACAACCUCCCCUAAGUACCAUAAAACAGCACGGGGGAUCGAUGAUCUGAUUGCGAAUGGUUGACCUACACAAAAAUAAUGGCAAUGGCAGAAAAUAAAACAAGUUAACAAAAAGUUAUGAAUUACAAUAUCGUGUAGACCUCAAUCAUACUAGCCAGUUGUUGAUUGGCAACAUCAUCGUAAAAGAUGAUCAUACUGGGAACAUGGCCAUGGUCUACUUAGUAGUAAACAAAAUUAACACACCCAAUGUAAUAAUCUCGACUCAUGUUCCAUCUCCUGUUUAUAAGAUGAAGAAAAUUAAGAUAUACCAAUAAAUUAAACUUGUUGAAUACAAAAAGAUUUAUUGUAACUCUCACAGCAACUUCAUCAAUUUGAAGGAGAUCAAAAAAUUUGAAGAAACUUUCACGUUCUUUUGUUAAACAGUUUUCCGGAAACCAUUCGAUCUCUAUCCUGCAAUGCGCAACUGUGAGCCAAAUUAUAGUCAAGUAAUAAAUAUCAACAACCAUGUCUUAGGGUACGCAAGCCAAAUUA
Long non-coding RNA from Rosa chinensis, 2081 nucleotides. RefSeq lists it as uncharacterized. The transcript has 3 exons. Lineage: Eukaryota; Viridiplantae; Streptophyta; Magnoliopsida; Rosales; Rosaceae. The record is from RefSeq and is a predicted model, not a curated record.